GGCGUAGCUCAGUCGGUAGAGCAGCUGAUUUGUAAUCAGCAGGUCGUCGGUUCGAGUCCGGCCGCC
RNAcentral lists this transfer RNA (66 nucleotides) under marine eukaryotic metagenome. It matches the Rfam family "tRNA". Rfam says of the family: Transfer RNA (tRNA) molecules are approximately 80 nucleotides in length. The record is from RNAcentral.